GGGUUGUGAGGUUAAGCGACUAAGCGUACACGGUGGAUGCCCUGGCAGUCAGAGGCGAUGAAGGACGUGCUAAUCUGCGAUAAGCGUCGGUAAGGUGAUAUGAACCGUUAUAACCGGCGAUUUCCGAAUGGGGAAACCCAGUGUGUUUCGACACACUAUCAUUAACUGAAUCCAUAGGUUAAUGAGGCGAACCGGGGGAACUGAAACAUCUAAGUACCCCGAGGAAAAGAAAUCAACCGAGAUUCCCCCAGUAGCGGCGAGCGAACGGGGAGCAGCCCAGAGCCUGAAUCAGUAUGUGUGUUAGUGGAAGCGUCUGGAAAGGCGCGCGAUACAGGGUGACAGCCCCGUACACAAAAAUGCACAUGCUGUGAGCUCGAUGAGUAGGGCGGGACACGUGGUAUCCUGUCUGAAUAUGGGGGGACCAUCCUCCAAGGCUAAAUACUCCUGACUGACCGAUAGUGAACCAGUACCGUGAGGGAAAGGCGAAAAGAACCCCGGCGAGGGGAGUGAAAAAGAACCUGAAACCGUGUACGUACAAGCAGUGGGAGCACGCUUAGGCGUGUGACUGCGUACCUUUUGUAUAAUGGGUCAGCGACUUAUAUUCUGUAGCAAGGUUAACCGAAUAGGGGAGCCGAAGGGAAACCGAGUCUUAACUGGGCGUUAAGUUGCAGGGUAUAGACCCGAAACCCGGUGAUCUAGCCAUGGGCAGGUUGAAGGUUGGGUAACACUAACUGGAGGACCGAACCGACUAAUGUUGAAAAAUUAGCGGAUGACUUGUGGCUGGGGGUGAAAGGCCAAUCAAACCGGGAGAUAGCUGGUUCUCCCCGAAAGCUAUUUAGGUAGCGCCUCGUGAAUUCAUCUCCGGGGGUAGAGCACUGUUUCGGCAAGGGGGUCAUCCCGACUUACCAACCCGAUGCAAACUGCGAAUACCGGAGAAUGUUAUCACGGGAGACACACGGCGGGUGCUAACGUCCGUCGUGAAGAGGGAAACAACCCAGACCGCCAGCUAAGGUCCCAAAGUCAUGGUUAAGUGGGAAACGAUGUGGGAAGGCCCAGACAGCCAGGAUGUUGGCUUAGAAGCAGCCAUCAUUUAAAGAAAGCGUAAUAGCUCACUGGUCGAGUCGGCCUGCGCGGAAGAUGUAACGGGGCUAAACCAUGCACCGAAGCUGCGGCAGCGACGCUGAUGCGUUGUUGGGUAGGGGAGCGUUCUGUAAGCCUGCGAAGGUGUGCUGUGAGGCAUGCUGGAGGUAUCAGAAGUGCGAAUGCUGACAUAAGUAACGAUAAAGCGGGUGAAAAGCCCGCUCGCCGGAAGACCAAGGGUUCCUGUCCAACGUUAAUCGGGGCAGGGUGAGUCGACCCCUAAGGCGAGGCCGAAAGGCGUAGUCGAUGGGAAACAGGUUAAUAUUCCUGUACUUGGUGUUACUGCGAAGGGGGGACGGAGAAGGCUAUGUUGGCCGGGCGACGGUUGUCCCGGUU
RNAcentral lists this ribosomal RNA (1476 nucleotides) under Escherichia coli. RNAcentral's name for it is "partial 23S ribosomal RNA". It matches the Rfam family "Bacterial large subunit ribosomal RNA", at positions 1 to 1512 of the family's 2925-position model. Lineage: Bacteria; Pseudomonadati; Pseudomonadota; Gammaproteobacteria; Enterobacterales; Enterobacteriaceae. The record is from RNAcentral.